Molecule: non-coding RNA, 21 nt
Filed under: Caenorhabditis elegans
Lineage: Eukaryota; Metazoa; Nematoda; Chromadorea; Rhabditida; Rhabditidae
Source: RNAcentral
UGUGAAAAGAGUGACAUUAGA